Molecule: long non-coding RNA, 807 nt
Filed under: Salvia miltiorrhiza (redroot sage)
Lineage: Eukaryota; Viridiplantae; Streptophyta; Magnoliopsida; Lamiales; Lamiaceae
Description: long non-coding RNA (SMIL_LNC005147)
Source: RNAcentral
UUAAAUACUAGAACAUCCAUAGCCAACAAACUAAAGAGUUUCUAAAUAUCCAUCAAAUCAACAACAAAUUAGCAACAAAUGAUCAAGGAAAGAGUCCACAAUUUCAAUGUACAACACUUACAUUACAACUAGCUGCUGAAGAAUCUAUUGUGGAGACUUUAAUUUCUGCCCAAAACACAAAAUUUCGCUGCCGAAACCUUGAAAUAUCUGCACAAGUUCAAGCUAUUCUUAAAUCCAGAAAAUACUUAAACAAAUUUUCAAGCUAUUUUCCUACACUAACAUAAAGCUAAAUGGAUACCUAAACCGCUAAACGAAUCUGCCAGAUCCCAGAUGAAGUAUUCCUACACUAACACAAUAACACAAGGCUAAAAUUCUAAAUGGAUACAUUCUUCACAACAGUGACUUCGCCAUUUAUCUAGUACAAUCGAAAAAAAUGAAAGAAUGGUGAAAUACUAACCUGCUAGACGGUGGUGGAGUGAAAGCAGGCGGGCAGCGGCGGCGCUGAUUUGUAGCAGGGCGGCGAGGGUGGGAGUGAAAGCAGCAGCAGAAGUUCCAGCCUCCAGGCGCCGUGGAGUGGCCGGCGUUGCCGCGUGGGGCGUGAGGCGUGAGGCAGGGUGGGGUGGCGACCGACGACGAUGACGUGACGAACAAGAGGCCGCGGCGGCGCUUCCUUAGGUCGCAGACUCGCAGGUGCAGGCAGGAACGAAGAAGAAGAUGAAUUCUUUCAGAUUUGAAACUUGAAAGUGAGGCAGCGGCGCUGCCUUUAGGGCUUAGAAGUCAGAAAUUAGAAUUAGGGUUAGAUAUUUU